RNAcentral lists this ribosomal RNA (724 nucleotides) under Stereum armeniacum. RNAcentral describes it as "LSU rRNA". It matches the Rfam family "Eukaryotic large subunit ribosomal RNA", at positions 151 to 865 of the family's 3401-position model. Lineage: Eukaryota; Fungi; Basidiomycota; Agaricomycetes; Russulales; Stereaceae. The record is from RNAcentral.
GGAGAAGCGUUUUCCGCGUUGGACCGUGUACAAGUUUCCUGGAACGGAGCGUCAUAGAGGGUGAGAAUCCCGUCUUUGACACGGAUCCCAAUGCUUUGUGAUGCGCUCUCAAAGAGUCGAGUUGUUUGGGAAUGCAGCUCAAAAUGGGUGGUGAAUUCCAUCUAAAGCUAAAUAUUGGCGAGAGACCGAUAGCGAACAAGUACCGUGAGGGAAAGAUGAAAAGCACUUUGGAAAGAGAGUUAAACAGUACGUGAAAUUGUUGAAAGGGAAACGCUUGAAGUCAGUCGCGUCGGCCGGGACUCAGCCUUGCAUCCGCUUGGUGUACUUUCCGGUCGACGGGCCAGCAUCAGUUUCGACCACGAGAUAAAGGCGGAGGGAAUGUGGCUCUCUCGGGAGUGUUAUAGCCCUUCGUCAGAUGUCGCGGUUGGGACUGAGGAACUCAGCACGCCUUUAUGGCCGGGGCUCGCCCACGUACGUGCUUAGGAUGCUGGCGUAAUGGCUUUAAACGACCCGUCUUGAAACACGGACCAAGGAGUCUAACAUGCCUGCGAGUGUUCGGGUGGAAAACCCGUGCGCGCAAUGAAAGUGAAAGUUGGGAUCCCUGUCGUGGGGUGCACCGACGCCCGGCCCAGACCUUUUGUGACGGAGCUGCGGUAGAGCAUGUAUGUUGGGACCCGAAAGAUGGUGAACUAUGCCUGAAUAGGGUGAAGCCAGAGGAAACUCU